This 479-nucleotide unclassified non-coding RNA is filed under the name Hevea brasiliensis (rubber tree). Lineage: Eukaryota; Viridiplantae; Streptophyta; Magnoliopsida; Malpighiales; Euphorbiaceae. The record is from RNAcentral.
AUAUUGCACCAUACAGCAUCAUCUGCAUUUCCAGAGCAAAAUGGUCAUAGGGUAUAUUCUGAAGGGUAGUGCUAUAUAAGAAACAGAUAUAAUGUUAAAGCAUGUAAAUGAAGUUUAAUGAGGAGUUAAUUUCUCAAAUGGCUUUUCAUGUGCUCAAGGAUUUAAAUAGCUCAAGUAUCCAACAUUCCAGUGCUAGCCUGAACUAGCCAAGAGAACAAAUUACUACUAAGCUCAAUCCAGCCUCAUUCUACAAUAUAGUGAUAUAGUCUAAGGAUGAGUUCAUCAUAAUUGAUAAUACAUUGGAAGAGCUCCUUCAAGCCAAGGUCAUGCCAGCAUGACAUCAACAUAAACCAACCGUAAACUUAAUUUAAUGAGAAGUCAUAUUAGAAUUGAGUAACAAACACCUUAAUAAUGAAUACAAUAAUUUCAACAUUGAAUUAAUGUUGAUGUUUGUAUCAAUAAGCAACACACCCUGAAGG